GAUGAACGCUGGCGGCGUGCCUAAUACAUGCAAGUCGAGCGAACGGACGAGAAGCUUGCUUCUCUGAUGUUAGCGGCGGACGGGAGAGUAACGCGUGGAUAACCUACCUAUAAGACUGGGAUCACUUCGGGACACCGUAGCUAAUCCCGGAUAAUAUUUUGAACCGCAUGGUGCAAAAGUGAAAGACGGUCUUGCUGUCACUUAUAGCUGGAUCCGGGCUGCAUUAGCUAGUUGGUAAGGUAACGGCCUACCAAGGCUACGAUGCGUAAGCGACCUGAGAGGGUGAUCGGCCACACUGGAAGUGAGACACGGACCAGACGACUAAGGGAGGGAGCAGUAUGGAAUGGUACGCAGUGGGCGAGAGCCUGACGGAGCAACGCGGCGUGAGUGAUGAAGGUCUUCGGAGCGUAAAACUCUGUUAUUAGGGAAGAACAUAUUUGUAAGUUACUGUGCACAUCGUGACGGUAACUAAUCAGGAAGCCACGGCUAACUACGUG
This 497-nucleotide ribosomal RNA is filed under the name uncultured bacterium. RNAcentral's name for it is "partial 16S ribosomal RNA". It matches the Rfam family "Bacterial small subunit ribosomal RNA", at positions 28 to 507 of the family's 1533-position model. The record is from RNAcentral.